This 95-nucleotide small RNA is filed under the name Arabidopsis thaliana (thale cress). RNAcentral's name for it is "ATSL035900". Lineage: Eukaryota; Viridiplantae; Streptophyta; Magnoliopsida; Brassicales; Brassicaceae. The record is from RNAcentral.
CUGUGUGGCGACUCAAGCAGUAAACAGUUUUGUUAGUAUUUUUAUUGUCAAAAUGUGUCACAAUCCAAUGCAUUGGACUUAUUAUAAGAGUUAAA